This is a long non-coding RNA of Rhineura floridana, 303 nucleotides long. RefSeq lists it as uncharacterized. The record is from RefSeq and is a predicted model, not a curated record. Lineage: Eukaryota; Metazoa; Chordata; Lepidosauria; Squamata; Rhineuridae. The transcript has 4 exons.
UAACACACCCCUUAACUGUUGCUAUGAUUUAUCCUAUUAGGAUCUUUCUUUGUCUAGCUGCCCAAUUUCUUACCCUGAUGGCACAUCCUGGGUGACAUGUUCCUGGUGGGAUCAGCUCUCACAUUCACCCCAGAAGAGGAGGGAGGAAAAGGGUCUAAAGGAGGCUGGAAGUUGGCAGCCUGUUGUGAGCGAGAAAAUCCUAAGCAUGCUCUCAGUUUCUCACCAAGAUGGAAUUUUGAUACCGGCCGAGUACUAUAAAAAAGAUUAAAACUUCACAUGCAAAAUUACACAAAUAAAGACAGC